UACGAGAUACAGACUUAACUGCGGGAGC
RNAcentral lists this small RNA (28 nucleotides) under Bombyx mori (domestic silkworm). RNAcentral's name for it is "piRNA piR-bmo-2240748". Lineage: Eukaryota; Metazoa; Arthropoda; Insecta; Lepidoptera; Bombycidae. The record is from RNAcentral.